RNAcentral lists this ribosomal RNA (369 nucleotides) under uncultured Glomeromycotina. Its description in RNAcentral is "LSU rRNA". The record is from RNAcentral. Lineage: Eukaryota; Fungi; Glomeromycota.
UUGAAAGGGAAACGAUUGAAGUCAGUCGUGCUGGCGCGAAAUCAACCCUCUCGUCGAGAGGUCACAUGGCGUGGCGAGCCUCAAAACCGUCACGAAGCGUGAACUCUUGGUGAAAUGGAGCACUUUCGUGUCCGCUGGUUAACAUCAAUUUCGAACGUCAUAAAAAGGCUGGAGGGAUGUGGCUCCUUCGGGAGUGUUAUAACCUUUAGCGGAAUGUGGUGUUCGGGAUUGAGGAUUGCAACGAAUACCUUUAGGGCUGUUCCACCUGGCUUCUCUUUGGUAUCCUGGUGAAGACAGCUUGCUGACUUUGUUAGGAUUCGCCUUUGAACAGGCUAGAGUGUGAGCAAAUUCGUUAAGGAUGUUGACGUA